This is a long non-coding RNA of Ursus americanus (American black bear), 1830 nucleotides long. The record is from Ensembl. Lineage: Eukaryota; Metazoa; Chordata; Mammalia; Carnivora; Ursidae.
CGCAGCCUGCUUUGCCUGCUUCCAGCUGUCCCCACAGCCCCAUCCAGCCACCUCCCUGAGGUUUGACCACUCCUGCUGGUGGCUUCUCCCUGUCGAGGUGUGAGCGCCGGCCUGACUGGGUCGGUCUGGAGAGCCGGGAGCCCUGCCCCCAUGGGAUAACCGGUCCUGAGGCAUGUGUGCUGGGAGCAGCCCUGGCGACCCUGCACCAACCCUCACAACCCUGUCUCAGCCGCCACCUUCCUGUGCGUGGGACAGAAGGAAGGGACAGCCGGGUGCAGCUCCACCUGCCAGUGGGACGGAGCCUGGGGAGGGGACCGCCGGAAGGAAACGCCCCAUCCCCCUUAGACCUUGGGACACCAGGAGGGGGGAGAAAGCCAGCAUGGACAGGGUCCACAGUGGGGUUACAUGCUGCAAGGCCGAGCCCAGCCCACUGCCAUUCUUAGAUGCCAGAGGAUUCGGGGAUCUCCUGGAGGCUAUUGCCCUUCUGGGGGCUGGGGGCUGCCAGCAGCUUCCAUGUUCCACACUCGUCACAGAUGUGGCCUGAUGUCACCUGUAGCAUGCAGCCAUGCAGUAGAAAUGUUCUUCUCCAGGCACACCGUGCAGGAGAGGCCCAACCUGGCCCAGCGCAGGGCCUCUGACCUGGGGCCUGUCCAGACCCUGUCCCAGGCACCCAGGACCUUCCCAGCCCCAAAGAAUCGGCGUGCUGGGCCCUCACAGUGGGCCCCAAAAUACACCCACGUGGAGCCGGCUGUGUACCCCAGGGCCCGCCAGGGAGGGCCAGGACCAAGGUGUGUCAUGGGCCAGGCCCUGCCCCGGCCCGGCCACUCACCUGGAGAUGGCCACACGGCCAGCAGUCUGGGCAGCAGGGCUUCAGUGCCCCAGGCCCACGUGGCCGCCUGUGGUCCCAGCUCAGCCGCAGAAGCUGCACUUUGGCAAGGCCACGGGAAGGGUUCUCUCCGAUCUUUGCUUCGUGCUGCUUCAAAGAGUCUUUCUGUCCUUCGCUUUUCAGGAGAAGCCCCUUCCUCCUCUUCCUGGGGAUGCGAGCCCCACGGACCUGAGGACUGCCGGCGCGUGGAACAAGGUUGCGCCCAGUUCUCGGAUGUCCGCCUUGGGCCCCCACCACCUGGGUACAGCCCCAUCCUCUUCCUCAACGACCUCCGUGAGAAGGAAGACAGCAGGCCCCGAGGCGGCCCGGGCCCUGGGAGAAUGAUGCCCGACACACAGGACCUGCCAGGAGGGAGCAGGUAGGAGAGGCUGACCGACUCAGGGCAUUCUCUGGCUCGGUGUGGCCUCCCAGGUGCGCACCCUCACGGGCAGAGGGCAGGGUGCCAGGAGCUGUGGGUGCCACUGCGGCCUGGACAGCAGGAGAGGCCAGGCUUGCUGCCUCACGGGAGCCCAGCCCCGGUCCAGGUCGGACCACUAGGUGGGCAGAGUAGGGCGGCUUCCUUCUUCAUAUGAUGGCGGUGGCGGGACAGCCGUGCCGGUCCUUCCUCCAGGGGCCGGCUGGACAGGAAGGACACUCCUCAAGUGUGCACAGAGGCCGGGGGGGCCUCACUGUGGUGUGCCAGGUGGCCACAGACUCACCACACACCAGCCACUACCUGCCACGGGCCCGGGGUCCCUACCGGCCUGACCUGCGGCAGAGCAGACACGCUGGACAGGGCCACGCACCGCCGCGGGGCCCAGGAGACGGCACUCCAUCAGUACCUCUCAGCCGCACGCUCUUUCCAGCCCAUGGCCCUGCCGGGAGGAAGGCUGCGUUCAGAGAAAUCUUCCCGGGCACCUGCUUGGGGGAGCAGCGUGUCCCCUGCCAGGCCAUGGGGUCCGACA